RNAcentral lists this ribosomal RNA (208 nucleotides) under uncultured bacterium. RNAcentral's name for it is "partial 16S ribosomal RNA". It matches the Rfam family "Bacterial small subunit ribosomal RNA", at positions 568 to 774 of the family's 1533-position model. The record is from RNAcentral.
UGCGUAGGUGGUAGGGUAAGUCGGAUGUGAAAUCUCGGAGCUCAACUCCGAAACUGCAUUGGAAACUACCCAACUUGAGGGUCGGAGGGGGGACUGGAAUUCUCGGUGUAGCAGUGAAAUGCGUAGAUAUCGAGAGGAACACCAGUGGCGAAGGCGAGUCCCUGGACGACUCCUGACACUGAGGCACGAAAGCUAGGGGAAGCAAACA